AGAAUGCACUGCGGGCUGCAAAUGGCCUCCUGUGCUGGACUACAGAAGCACCAGUGACGUGAAGCUGGAGAAAAGCUGAAGGUCAUAAGAGGAAGCAGCGGCCCAGGAGAAGGUGUGACAACACAUGGAGAGGAGGGGGCCACUCCACAGAGCACUGUGGGAGGAUACUGGACACCAGCAGAUGGGACAGCGCAGGAUGGCACCAACUGAAGAGACAGUCUCUAUCACGUCAUCCAGCGCACUGUUGAUAUCAGCAGACUCAAAAAUAAUAAUGGGGCAUGUGGCGCCAACGUUUGGCGAGACAGAGACUGGCAGACCCAUCCCUGCUGUGGCUUUACAAAGAUUCACGCCGUCCUGGCACACAAUAAAAACAACACAUCAUACAGGUGACACAGCUGACGCUGGGGUUCUGGGCCACGUCAGCAGCCAGCGACAUGUCACUGCCAGUUAAAACACUGAGGGCUCCUGCAGCAACGCCUGCUGCCAUAAAAAGUUGAGCCAGUAGAAGCGCUGGAGCGGAGGUGCUCUGACCAGGGACAAUGAUGACAGCGUUACCUGAGGAGAAGACAGUACCUCAAAACAUCUUCCAAAACUAGAUUAAAUAUUAUAUGAUGUACGUCAUCAACCCACAGCAAGUAUCUUACCCACUGCUAGCGCUGGUAAGACUUUAAGCAACAGGGAAUAGAGAGUGCAGUCAUCAGAGACAACCACAGCAACCACACCUGCAAAACAAGAACAGCAGAUACAAGUUGAAAACUAAAUUGUAGCAAAAAAUCUAACAAACCUGUGACGGUCAUAAUCGCUCAUUUGUGAGAAAAACUCAAAACUGCAACAGGUAGAGCCCAACAUAGUCGUACAAUAGUCAUACCGAGUGCAAUACCUUUAACAUUUACUUCAAGCAUUAUGGGUUAGAUCAGGGGUGCACAAACUGCAACCCGCGGGGCACAUCGGGCCCGCCAAGCGUCUUAAUCCGGCCCACCGGGCAUUUCCAAA
Long non-coding RNA from Dunckerocampus dactyliophorus (ringed pipefish), 993 nucleotides. RefSeq lists it as uncharacterized. Lineage: Eukaryota; Metazoa; Chordata; Actinopteri; Syngnathiformes; Syngnathidae. The record is from RefSeq and is a predicted model, not a curated record. The transcript is spliced from 4 exons.